CGUGAGGCUAGAGUCAUGCCUUGACAACACCUCAUUGUCCUGGUGUACUAGAGUGCUUGCAGUAAACUUAUUUGCCUAGUCAUUGACUGUAGUCCCUUGUGGCCCAGCCAAUCACCAGCUUGGAUACAGAA
Molecule: small nucleolar RNA, 131 nt
Organism: Coregonus clupeaformis (lake whitefish)
Lineage: Eukaryota; Metazoa; Chordata; Actinopteri; Salmoniformes; Salmonidae
Product: small nucleolar RNA SNORA3/SNORA45 family
Exons: 1
Source: RefSeq, a predicted model, not a curated record